This 468-nucleotide ribosomal RNA is filed under the name uncultured bacterium. RNAcentral's name for it is "partial 16S ribosomal RNA". It matches the Rfam family "Bacterial small subunit ribosomal RNA", at positions 28 to 507 of the family's 1533-position model. The record is from RNAcentral.
GACGAACGCUGGCGGCGUGCUUAACACAUGCAAGUCGAACGGUGAUGCUCCAGCUUGCUGGAGUGGAUCAGUGGCGAACGGGUGAGUAACACGUGAGCAACCUGCCCCAGACUCUGGAAUAAGCGCUGGAAACGGCGUCUAAUACUGGAUACGAAACUGGCCCGCAUGGGCAUGGUUUGGAAAGUUUUUCGGUUUGGGAUGGGCUCGCGGCCUAUCAGCUUGUUGGUGAGGUAAUGGCUCACCAAGGCGACGACGGGUAGCCGGCCUGAGAGGGCGACCGGCCACACUGGGACUGAGACACGGCCCAGACUCCUACGGGAGGCAGCAGUGGGGAAUAUUGCACAAUGGGCGAAAGCCUGAUGCAGCGACGCCGCGUGAGGGAUGACGGCCUUCGGGUUGUAAACCGCUUUCAGCAGGGAAGAAGCGAAAGUGACGGUACCUGCAGAAGAAGCACCGGCUAACUACGUG